AUUUUUUUUCAAAUUUCAUAUCACGAGGGUGGGACUAUUGAGAAAGCCUUGGAGGCCGCAAUAAAAGGAUGGGGGUUAGAGCCAGUUGUGACAGUUACAAUUGACAAUGCCUCUUCUAACAAUGUAGCAUUGGGGCAUCUUAAAACCAAUCUUAAAGAGGAAACUAAGUCAAUCAUGGAUGGUGAUUGUUUGCAUAUGGGGUGAGAGGUUGGAAUAGGAUCCCCUAGUCCAUUAUCCUGUAGAAGCCUAGUCAGAGUUAGAUACUUGGCAUCGAAUUUGCACCGAUUGACAUGGAGGUUUGAUAUAUUAUUUUGGUGGAAAACCAAUGUUGUGAAGUAUCCUAUCCUUGGAGACCUAGUCCAUAGUAUUUUAGUUAUCCCUAUUACUACCAUAGCCUUAGAGUCAAUCUUUAGCAUCGGAUGGCACAUAUUUGAUCCAUUCCGAAGUUUAUUAUCUCCUACCACUGUGGAGGCAUUAAUUUGCACUUAAAAUUGGAUUAAAGGGUCCCCAAUUUAUAUUCCGAAUGUGGGGGACUUUGAGGAGGCCGACAAGGAGGAGGGUAGUGAUUAGCGUAGAUCUGGUAAUCAUUUUUAAUUCAUUGAUUUGCUUUUCUUAUUUUAAUAUAUAUAUUCAUUUAACCGGUAUUAAUUUCAUAUUUAAUUGUUAUAUCAAUACAUGAGUCUACAUCUACAUCAACUAUAAUAUGGCUUCGUGUGUAUUGGACCCACCAUUGCCAUUUGCUAUUGGUAUGUAUAAUUUGUCCCUUAAUUGCUUUUUGUAUUUAUAUAGUUUUUGGUAAUUCUAAUUAUUUUUCUUGUAUUUGUUCUAGAUUUUAUAGUCUCACUGUCAUAUGCCCAAUCCUAAUCUCAAUGAUCUCAUUCUCAUUUUGAUCUCAAUCUCAUCUUGUUUCAUAGCACAGCUCACUGACUUUCUCAUCGCCAUGACCACUGACCACCCUAAAUUCCAAUGUCAAAGUCAAUUCGAAAAUUGAAAUGAUAUUCCUAGGUCAAUUGUAAUCUUGCUACAAUUUGUUACUUAAUUUUUUUUAUUGUUAUUCGUUUAAAUUAUGUGGCAAUUUGUAAUAUUUUUAAAUUAAUUUGUAUUAUUAUAAUAGCUUACUUAGGAUUAUUAGUUGCGACUUAUAAGUAUACAAGUUUUUUAAUUUGUAUUAUUCUAAUACCCUCAUUUUUUUUAA
Juglans microcarpa x Juglans regia is the source of this 1195-nucleotide long non-coding RNA. RefSeq lists it as uncharacterized. The record is from RefSeq and is a predicted model, not a curated record. The transcript is spliced from 2 exons. NCBI's taxonomy places the organism in Eukaryota, Viridiplantae, Streptophyta, Magnoliopsida, Fagales, Juglandaceae.